UUAAGAAAUUAGUGAGGCCUAGGAUUCACACAUCUCUGUAAUUAUAUAUCUUACUUUUCAGGGGUGUUCAGAGCUUGCCUCUCUGAUUGACAAUGGGUUUUGGAUAGUUUUCUGAGCAGUAGAGAAAUAUCGUCUCCGAAUGAGUUUUCCAUAGAUGAGUCUUCAUGGGUUCUGUUGCAGAGAAGGAUUCGAUGAAAUCACAGAACGUUUCAAACAGAAGUUACAGCAUUAAUGGAUCGCACUCAAAAGCGAGCUGUCGGAGCUCUUAUUUUCAUCCGGCUCUUGUAUGGUCCGGUUUGGCCAGCCCUUUAUAUGGUGAAGCAAGAUGUGUUUUCAUCGUGGGGGAAGAGUAACUCAUGUAAGCUCUCGAGAUUUAUAACUAAAUUGAAGCUCAAUUUGUUGUUAAUUGUGCAAGUAAAAUUGGUCAUCAGACGUGACAAACUUAAAAAGUAAUUAUGCAGCAACUCUGUUGAUAAUGUCGUUUGACUUUUUUAGA
Molecule: long non-coding RNA, 496 nt
Organism: Musa acuminata AAA Group (dessert banana)
Lineage: Eukaryota; Viridiplantae; Streptophyta; Magnoliopsida; Zingiberales; Musaceae
Exons: 2
Source: RefSeq, a predicted model, not a curated record